AACACCCCAACAGCUAGCUCAAUCAUCAAAAUUUAACAAACAACAUCAACUAAAUCCUAAUACCCUAAAAUCAUAAAGUAAACCAUUUUUCCGCCCAAGUACGGGAGACAGAAAAGGAAUUCCGACGCAAUAGAAAAAGUACCGCAAGGGAAAGCUGAAAGAGAAUUGAAAAAACCCAGUGAAGGUUAUAAAAGCAGAGAUGCGACCUCGUACCUUUUGCAUCAUGAUUUAUCAAGUAACGAACAAGCAAAGAGCCCUUUAUGUUUGUAUCCCCGAAACUUAGCGAGCUACUCCAAGACAGCCUAUUGUAGGGCAAACCCGUCUCUGUGGCAAAAGAGUGGGAAGAGCUUUGAGUAGAGGUGAUAGACCUACCGAGCCUAGUUAUAGCUGGUUACCUGAGAAAUGAAUAGAAGUUCAGCCCUUUAAGCUCUUCCCCCAAAUAAGGUCGCACCUUGCAACGGUCCGAAGUGAGUUAGUGGAGUUAUUCAAAAGAGGGACAGCUCUUUUGAAAAGAGAUACAACUUUUCAAGCAGGUCAAAGAUCAAAACAUGUAAGGAAACACACCCAAGUGGGCCUAAAAGCAGCCACCCCAUAAGAAAGCGUUAAAGCUCAAGUGUACAAAACCUUCAAUUUCGACAGAAUCAUCCUAUACCCCUUAAAAUAUCAGGUCCACCCAUGCCCCCCAUGGGUAAGAUCAUGCUAGAAUGAGUAAUAAGAGAGUAAGACUCUCUCCCACAAGCACCCCCGUAAGUCAGAACGAACCCCCACUGAAAAUUAACGCCCCCAGCCCCAAGAGGGAAAUGAGAUAUAAGUUUAAAUCAAGAAGAGACCCCAACCCAGAUAAGCGUUAACCCCACACAGGCGUGCCAGGGAAAGACAGAAGGAAAAAGAAGGAACUCGGCAAACACUGGCCUCGCCUGUUUACCAAAAACAUCGCCUCUUGCCCAAACAAUAUAAGAGGUCCCGCCUGCCCUGUGACGAAAGUUUAACGGCCGCGGUAUUUUGACCGUGCGAAGGUAGCGUAAUCACUUGUCUUUUAAAUAGAGACCUGUAUGAAUGGCAUAACGAGGGGUAAGCUGUCUCCUUUUUCUAGUCAAUGAAAUUGAUCUGCCCGUGCAGAAGCGGGCAUACUACCAUAAGACGAGAAGACCCUAUGGAGCUUAAGACACCAAGGCAGGUCACGUCAAAAACCCCAAUUCAACGGGAAUAAACCAAGUGAUAUCUGCCUCCCUGUCUUUGGUUGGGGCGACCGCGGAGAAAUAAAUAACCCCCACGUGGAACGGAUAUAUUAUCCUAAAGCAAGAGCCACAGCUCUAGCAAACAGAAAGUCUGACCAACAAGAUCCGGCAAAGCCGAUCAACGGACCCAGUUACCCUAGGGAUAACAGCGCAAUCCCCUUUUAGAGCCCAUAUCGACAAGGGGGUUUACGACCUCGAUGUUGGAUCAGGACAUCCUAAUGGUGCAGCCGCUAUUAAGGGUUCGUUUGUUCAACGAUUAAAGUCCUACGUGAUCUGAGUUCAGACCGGAGAAAUCCAGGUCAGUUUCUAUCUAUGAAUGCACUCUUUUCUAGUACGAAAGGACCGAAAAGAGGGGGCCCAUGCUUUAAGUAAGCCCCGCCCCUACCUAGUGAGCCCCACUAAAAAAGGUAAAGGGGGUCGCCCCUGUGUCCGAGAAAAAGACAA
This 1682-nucleotide ribosomal RNA is filed under the name Myersina filifer. RNAcentral's name for it is "16S ribosomal RNA". It matches the Rfam family "Bacterial large subunit ribosomal RNA". Lineage: Eukaryota; Metazoa; Chordata; Actinopteri; Gobiiformes; Gobiidae. The record is from RNAcentral.